RNAcentral lists this unclassified non-coding RNA (218 nucleotides) under Glomus sp. RNAcentral's name for it is "partial contains 5.8S ribosomal RNA and internal transcribed spacer 2". The stretch from base 1 to 65 matches the Rfam family "5.8S ribosomal RNA", at positions 84 to 154 of the family's 154-position model. The record is from RNAcentral. Lineage: Eukaryota; Fungi; Glomeromycota; Glomeromycetes; Glomerales; Glomeraceae.
GUGAAUCAUCGAAUCUUUGAACGCAACUUGCACUCUCUUCGGAGAGUAUGCCUGUUUGAGGGUCAGCCUAAAAAAAUUCGACAUAUUUGUUGUUUCCCGGUGACAUUCGUCGGAAAUGGGGUUUCCUUAAACCUUUGGGUUUUAACCGGCUUAAAAUUUCCUUUACGAUUCCUGGAACUUUUCUAAGAUUUUACUUCUUACUCACGUUUAAGGUUUCG